Molecule: transfer RNA, 72 nt
Filed under: Medicago truncatula (barrel medic)
Lineage: Eukaryota; Viridiplantae; Streptophyta; Magnoliopsida; Fabales; Fabaceae
Description: tRNA gene1334
Rfam family: tRNA
About the family: Transfer RNA (tRNA) molecules are approximately 80 nucleotides in length. Their secondary structure includes four short double-helical elements and three loops (D, anti-codon, and T loops). Further hydrogen bonds mediate the characteristic L-shaped molecular structure. tRNAs have two regions of fundamental functional importance: the anti-codon, which is responsible for specific mRNA codon recognition, and the 3' end, to which the tRNAs corresponding amino acid is attached (by aminoacyl-tRNA synthetases). tRNAs cope with the degeneracy of the genetic code in two manners: having more than one tRNA (with a specific anti-codon) for a particular amino acid; and 'wobble' base-pairing, i.e. permitting non-standard base-pairing at the 3rd anti-codon position.
Source: RNAcentral
AUCAGAGUGACGCAGCGGAAGCGUGGUGGGUCCAUAACCCAUAGGUUCCUGGAUCGAAACUAGGCUCUAAUA